Molecule: ribosomal RNA, 435 nt
Filed under: uncultured bacterium
Lineage: Bacteria
Description: bacterial SSU rRNA
Rfam family: Bacterial small subunit ribosomal RNA
Source: RNAcentral
CAGCCGCGGAAAAACGUAGGAAGCGAGCGUUAUCCGGAUUUACUGGGCGUAAAGCGCGUGUAGGCGGUUUGGCAAGUUGGAUGUGAAAUCUCCUGGCUCAACUGGGAGGGGGCGUUCAAAACUGCCAGACUAGAGGACAGUAGAGGAAGGUGGAAUUCCCGGGGUAGUGGGGAAAUGCGUAGAUAUCGGGAGGAACACCAGUGGCGAAAGCGGCCUUCUGGACUGUAUCUGACGCUCAGACGCGAAAGCUAGGGGAGCGAACGGGAUUAGAGACCCCGGUAGUCCUAGCUGUAAACGAUGUAGACUUGGCGUCGGUGGGUUCAAAGCCAUCGGUGCCGUAGCUAACGCGAUAAGUCUACCGCCUGGGGACUACGGCCGCAAGGUGAAAACUCAAAGGAAUUGACGGGGGCCCGCACAAGCAGCGGAGCGUGUGGG